AGAGAGAGACAUGCGCGCAUAUCAAUAAGCGGAGGAAAAGAAACUAACAAGGAUUCCCUUAGUAACGGCGAGUGAAGCGGGAAGAGCUCAAAUUUGAAAUCUUCAAGGUUUCACCUUGACGAAUUGUAGUUUAAAGAAGUGUUUUCUGCUGAAGUUUUGGUAAAAGUUCUUUGGAAUAGGACAUCAUAGAGGGUGAGAAUCCCGUAUUUGACCAUUAUUUUCAGCUUCGUGAUACACUUUCAAAGAGUCGGAUUGUUUGGGAAUGCAGUCCAAAAUGGGUGGUAAAUUUCAUCUAAAGCUAAAUAUUGGCGAGAGACCGAUAGCGAACAAGUACCGUGAGGGAAAGAUGAAAAGAACUUUGAAAAGAGAGUUAAACAGUACGUGAAAUUGUCAAAAGGGAAGCGUUUGACACCAGUGUUGUUUUCUCGAAAAUCAAUUAAAAAUGGCUCGAUUUUGUAUUGUUGAGACCUUAAAAGCCCACUGUACAUUUUUCGUGUCUUUUUUAAUGCACUUUUCGUUUAACAAGUCAACAUCAGUUUCUUUUGUUGUAAAAGGGUCAUUGGAAGGUGGCUUUCUUUUCGGAGAAAGUGUUUAUAGCCUUUGGCCUCUGCAAUCGGAAGAGACUGAGGUCUGCAGCGUAGACUCUUCGGGGUUAGAUACAUUUGUGCUAAGUUAUAGCUUUUUAUAGACAACUUGUUGACUAUAAUUAGUCUUGUAGCUUACUCGCUUAUGCUAUUUUACCUACGCUUAGGAUGUUGAAGUCAUCGUAUCGCGC
Molecule: ribosomal RNA, 775 nt
Filed under: uncultured Neocallimastigales
Lineage: Eukaryota; Fungi; Neocallimastigomycota; Neocallimastigomycetes; Neocallimastigales
Description: partial large subunit ribosomal RNA
Rfam family: Eukaryotic large subunit ribosomal RNA
Source: RNAcentral